CAUCAUAGACAUAAAGUGCUUUAUGUCUAUGGUUUCCAUUCAAGAAGAAUUGAUCUGGUUGAUCUCGAAGAAGCUUCUUUUGUGGUGGUAACAGCGGUAACAGUUUAUUCAUAAAGAACGUUGUAGGAAUGCCAAAUAUACGUCAAAACUUCCGUCAAUUGUUAACGAAUAAAAUCAAAAAAGAGACAAUUUUUAAUUCUGCAUUUCGAAGAUGAUUAAGAAUAUACAAUAAGAUGUCGACAUGGAUGAGUUAUUGCAUUAUUAAAAUGGGCCUUUUUGGAAGAAUCAGACUGUCGCUUAAAAAUCGACGAUUUUUUUUAAUCAAAUAAAUAUAAUAAAUAAUCUGACUGGGAAAUAACUGAAAUAAUCUGACCCCACAAAGGAAUGGGGCUAGAAGCAUCAGAAGAAGUUUUCAUAACAAAUAUUACACAUUAUAACAUUGUGAUCUCUACAUAUAAAUUGUUUACAGUUUUUCUGAACACCUCUCAGUAGUUUUUCUAUCUGGUGUCCUAAUGUUUGUAUUGUACUUCUUCUUUUCAUGUGUUGUUUAGGAGAAUAAAAGCUACAGUUCUUAUAAAGUGUCA
Molecule: non-coding RNA, 584 nt
Organism: Onthophagus taurus
Lineage: Eukaryota; Metazoa; Arthropoda; Insecta; Coleoptera; Scarabaeidae
Source: RefSeq, a predicted model, not a curated record